GGGGCUCCCCCCAACCCUCCCUUGCCUUCUGCUUCCUCCCUCCUGCAUCUGUCUGGGUGGGUCUGGGGAGGAGGGGGUCCGGGUGGGCCCAGGCACCACCGUCCCCAGACGAGGCUCCUGAAGCUGAUGGAAAGGGACCGGGAAAGAGGAGGCCCACCGAGCUCGGGACCCCGAGCCAGGCAGACCCCGUCGAGGUUAACACUUACUGGCCUGGUCACCUCCUUCACUGUGCAGCUCUGGCCCACCUCUCCCCACUGUGCAGUGUGGUUUUGUUUGGUUGGGUUUGGUUAUGGCAGGCCCCCUGUAGUGAGUAGAGACCUAGGAACUCUGCCUCGCCAGCCCCCCGGCAGGCCCCCCCUUCCAGCCGUCCCUCAGACCUGGGGCAGGGGGAGCAAAGCAGCCAGAGGUGGCUUCUGACCAGCAGACCCUGGGGAAGCAGCACCAGGCCCUGACCACUACGCAUCAUUUCCCAGGCAGAGGGGCGUGUGGGGCGCUGCCCACAGCAUGGGGUGGGCACUCCAGCCGAAUCCCACAAGGUGACCUGAGCGAGCACCUCUGGAGGCAGAGAAGUCCCUGGGAGCCAGGCCUGAUGCCAGAGGCAGAGGGCCCUCUCAGCAUGAGCAGAUACCCAGAUGGCUCUGGCUGCCAGGCUCUCUUCCUCAUGUGGGUGGUGGCCGUCCGGGGUACUCCUGCUUCCCUUUCUGGGUCCCCACCCCCACUGUGGGCAGAGACAAACCCCAAGAGGUGGCACAGUCUGCACACCCUGGCGCUGCUGUGGGCGUGGGCUCUGCCGUGCCCCUCCUCUCUGCCAGGUACCUAUUGUCAGGUAUUUUAUACCAGAGUCUUAGCCGAACCUCCCUUAUGUCAGACCUUCCAAACUAGGUAGUAUCGUCCCCAUUUGGCAGGUAAGAAAAUUGAGACUCAGGAAACUUUGUCGAUCAGCCCGGGGAAAGCAAUGGCAGAUGUAGGAGUCCAAAGCCCGCAGGCUUUUCCACUUGAAACUGAAAUGGGGUGUGAGACAGUCUGGUGGGCUGGGAGGCCAGGAACCCUGUCCUUUUAGCCAGUAGCUGAUGAAGCUGGGGCCCUCGUGUCCCCUCACCCCAGCAGCUGCCUUAGCCUUGCCGCUGCAGCCACACUCACGGCUGUUCAUCGAGGGCGUGUGGCCAGACCCCUCCACCCCCCCGCCCGCAUGUGUGUCUCCCCAUAGCAUCCUCUGUCCUCCCCAGGCUCCCAUCAGCGGGCCCCAUGAGUCCUUUCCCGCCCUGUCUCCUUCGGGUGUAAGAGGCUUCCCCAGUCCCCCACCAGGAGGCCGAGGGGCAGCCGUUUUGCUCUGCCGUUGGUGUCGGAACCCUGUGGGGCCUCCUCUGAUGACCUUUGCACGUGUGGUAUGUGGUAUGUGGAAGGCGAGGGUGUGAGGUGAGAAGGAGCCGCCCCUCCGAGCUGCGCUGUGGGAAGAAACUCCAGGCCCAGGCAGAGGAAAGGCUGGGACAGGCCUGAGGCCAGGCUGGGCUUCUGACCAGACCCCGGAGAAGCCUCAGCAGAGAUAGGAAGUCAGGAGUCAGGCAACUGCUGACCAGAGGACAGAGGUUUCUAUGGCGACCUGGGGAACAGGAAGCAUGGGGCCCGGGGAGGGAGUGUUGGGAGCAUGGAGGCGUGGGGGCCUCCUAGGAGAGCUUGUCAUAAAAGGUCCACUCAGCCAGCCAACAGCCUCCCUGGGCAAACGAGGAAACUGAGGCCUGUGAGGGAGGGGCUUUGCACAUGGUCACCCAACCCCAGCCCAGCCUCACCUGCCCAGCUGCCCACGCAUCGAGGCAGCCAAGGAGAGCUCGGGCCAUGCGCAGGCCAGGGCACGGGGGGAGCACCUAUACGCUGCCCCCCCACCCCCCCACACCCAUGUCGUGAGGGAGGGUACGGGCCACCUCUUCCUCCUGGUCCCUCUUGUGGGCAUCCGUCUGGGGCAGCAGGCAGGGUCCAGCCCUCCCCGCUGCCCAUGGUGAGCCUAUCACCCCCCCCCCCCCCGCACUGACUGUGGCCUUUUGUUUUCUGAGUGACACUCGCAUCAGGUGGUGUGUUCGGGUGACUAAUCUCCUCCAGGCUGGGCAGCUGUCACAGGGCGGCCUGACCAGGCGGGUGGGGAAAGCCGACACCCUGGGGGAGCACUGGCAAGCCGGUGCCUUGGCAGCAGUGGGCAGCUGGGCCUUCAGCUUCCUCUUCCCGGGUGCAGAGCAGACCCCAUGUCAGGCAGACCUGGGAUCAGGUCCUAGUCCUGUCACUGGCCAGCUGUGUGACCUUGGAGCAUGUUACUGUACGUCGUCAAGCCUCAGUUUCCUCGUCUCUGUAAUGGAGCCGUUGGUCCUGCCUGCCUCUUGGGGUGGUGGUGGGGAUCAAAGAAGCUGGCACAUGAGAGUGCUUAGCCCAGGUGUUGGGGUAAAGGGACCACUACUGCUUUAUUAUGGCUCCCUUCCUGCCCCCGUCCCACCUGAGUGCCAGCUCCUGGUCCAGGAGGGCAGCCCCUGCUCUCCCUGUAUCUCAGGUGCAGGCUUUGUCCUCCUCAGGUGGAGGCGGGUUCCAGCGCUGGCUCCGCAUCGACCAGCUAUGCACCUGAGCAGGUUACCUCCUUGCACGUCCUCAGGAACUGAGCAUGAUGUGUGUUCUGUAGGGUGCUGCGGUUUAUGAAAUGGCACACGUUUGUAAAGGGCUCAGUGCAGUGCCUGACACGUGUGGGCGCUCCGUAAAUGUGAGCCUUGAUGGUACUGAUUUUCGGAGGGAGCCAAGAGCUCUCCUGCCCUUCUCCCUGUCACCGGCAGAGGCCGGGGACUGUAAGAGGCAGAAACCCAGAGACGGGCAGGCCUGAACACUGCUUCCCCAGACAUGGCUGACUCCCUCUCAGUAGCCCUGCACCCAUCCAAGGCCCUGGCCCUGACCCUGCCUGCCUGGACCCCCAGGGGUGGGGCAUGGGAGGAGUAGGUGCUGGACAUGCAGCCCAAGCCUGACUCCUCAAACCCAUCGCCUCCCACCAUUUGUCCAGGGCUCCCACCCUCCAGGCCUAACUCUUGUCAGAGGCCCUUAGCGGGCAGAAGUAUCUCUUGUCAGCCCCAGGCAGAUGUCCUGUGACUGUGACUCAGGCCUCCCUGUGGCUGCCGGGGCCCGGGAGAGUACCUGAUGGCCCCAGGCGCUCUGGAGGCAUUGCCUCCCUGAAGGCCUUCCCCACUGUUAGUAAGAGGUAAGGGUGCAGGUGCUCCCAGUGGCCUGUGAAGAAGGGACAGCGGUGGGUAGGUGAGCUGGCAAAGCAUCGGAGCCCAUGUUCAGACCAGGUCAAGGGAGGAUGGCCUGAGCAAGGGUGCUCCCCACACAUCCUGCAGGAGGGAGCUCUGGGCGGCCCAGGUCAAGGUGCAGUUCACAGGCUCCCUCAGCAGAAGAGCUGACGGGUUUUCAGACAUUGGCCAGCACUUUUCACACACAAAUGUCCCUGCUGGGCCUCAGAAGGGCGAGACCAGAAGAGUGCUUACUGUUAGCCUCUCAGAGACAGAGCACGCAUGCCCAGAGCCCAGAGGCGCUCUCUUGGCUCUUGUGGCCUCCCACACAACGUCCCCCAGUGGCUUCUCUCCCCACGCAGCCGCCUCUCCAGUUCUCUGGGCCCUUGAUCAGGAGUUCCUGUUGUGGCACAGUGGAAACGAAUUCGACUAGUAACCAUGAGGUUACAGGUUUGAUCCCUGACCUCGCGCAAUGGAUUAAGGAUCCGACAUUGCCAUGAGCGGUGGUGUAGGGCACAGAUGCAGCUCGGAUCCUGCAUUGCUGUGGCUGUGGUGUAGGCCAGCAGCUGGAGCUCCAUUUCACCUCCUAGCCUGGGAACCUCCAUGUGCCAUGGGUGUGGCCCUAAAAAGAAAAAAAUAAUAAUUAAGGCACGCGUCAGGUUCUCUCCAUUUCUAGUGCCACUCUCAGCCUGACUCCAAGGGUGGGAUCAUCUCAGAACUGAAUUUCUCUUCAGAGAGCCUCAUUUUCUCACCAUUUCUUGGUUCCUGCCACGUCGCAGGAGGGGACACCUCAGCCUAACCUGCCCUGUGUUGUUGGCACCACAAAGGCCCAACGAAAGGAAGAGCCUUGCCCUCAGUCUCUAGGCUGGCUCCCAGCUUCCAGCUUCUUUUUUCCUUUCUUUUCCAUCAGCUUCUGGCAAGGGUCCUGAAGUCAUUUAGGCCCGAGCUCUGUGGAUCGUGGUGCCUGGACAGGGAAGCCAGAUGGGGACUGGCAGCACUUCCCACCCAGCAGUCCUGGGCAGCACCGGGCAGGACUGGGGAGAGGCUACUGCGUCCGACAGAGCUGAACCUGGGCUCCCCCCGGGUCCUCUGGUUCCUUGAACACCCUGUUGACGAGAUCGGAGGCCAUAGGCCAGCCCUCCCCCAUUCCUCCCCAGUGUCCCCUCUCUGCUGAGGACAGAGGCUGUGACUGGAUUCCUGGGAGCAGGAUGGGCAGUGGCCUGGCCCAGCUCCUGAUGCUCCUGGUCUCUGUGCCCAACAGCCACCCUCCUGCCCCUGCCAUGGAGACCUUCUUUAGGAGACACUUCCAGCGGAAGGCGCCAGGUCCUGGAGAGGGGCAGCGGCGGCCCAGUGGUGUGGGGCUGCCCACGGGCAAGGCCCGGCGCCGCUCGCCGGCCGGGCAGGCCUCCUCCUCCCUGGCACAGCGGCGCCGCUCCAGCGCACAGCUCCAGGGCUGCCUCCUGGGCUGCAGGGUGGGGGCCCGGCACUCAAGCCGCCGGCGCUCCAGCACCGCACCCCCCGCCUGCAACCCCCGCUUCACCGUGGAUGAGGUGCCCACCCCGCAGCCCUCCACGGUCAGGACCCGGCUUCUGGGCGCACCCCUGCUAUUGGCCGGGCUCAUGGGCAUGGAGGAGGCAGAGGAGGGGGUCCAGGAGGAGGAUGUGACCCUUACAUCAUUGAGUGCCAGCUGGCCAGGCACCAAGAGACCAGGGCCACUUCUGCAUCAGGACGCCCGGCCCCUGCUGCCCGUUCCCCACUGGCGCCGGCGCCGGGCCUCCUCCCAUCUGCUGCCGGCCGACGUGGUGUACGACUGUGCCCUCUCGGGCCUGCACGGUUACUACCGGCGCCUCAGCCAGCAGCGGCCCUCAGGCCAGCAUCCCAACCCUGGGGGCCGAAGAGCCUCGGGCACCACAGCCAGCCCCGGGAUGCCCGCCCGCGUGCGCCCACUGUCCCGCAGGCGCCAGGUAGCCCUGCGGCGCAAGUCAGCCGGACCCCAGACCUGGAGUGCCCUGCUUGCGAAAGCCAUCACCAAGUCGGGCCUCCAGCACCUGGCACCCCCUCCUCCUGCUCCUGGGGCCCCGUGCAUCGAGCCUGAGCGGCAGAUCCGGAGCACUGUGGACUGGAGUGAGUCAGCAACGUAUGGGGAACACAUCUGGUUCGAGACCAACGUGUCCGGGGACUUCUGCUAUGUUGGGGAGCAGUACUGUGUAGCCAAGAUGCUGCAGAAAUCAGUAUCCCGGAGAAAGUGUGCAGCCUGCAAGAUCGUGGUGCACACCCCCUGCAUUGAACAGCUGGAGAAGAUAAAUUUCCGCUGUAAGCCAUCCUUUCGUGAGUCAGGCUCCAGGAACGUCCGUGAGCCAACCUUCGUGCGGCACCACUGGGUACACAGGCGACGCCAGGAUGGCAAGUGUCGGCACUGUGGGAAGGGCUUCCAGCAGAAGUUCACCUUCCACAGCAAGGAGAUCGUGGCCAUCAGCUGCUCCUGGUGCAAGCAAGCAUACCACAGCAAGGUGUCCUGCUUCAUGCUGCAGCAGAUCGAGGAGCCCUGCUCCCUGGGGGUGCAUGCCGCCGUGGUCAUCCCCCCCACCUGGAUCCUCCGUGCCCGCAGGCCCCAGAAUACCCUCAAGGCAAGCAAGAAGAAAAAGAGGGCAUCCUUCAAGAGGAAAUCUAGCAAGAAAGGGCCCGAGGAGGGCCGCUGGAGACCCUUCAUCAUCAGGCCCACCCCGUCGCCCCUCAUGAAGCCCCUGCUGGUAUUUGUGAACCCCAAGAGUGGAGGCAACCAGGGCGCCAAGAUCAUCCAGUCCUUCCUCUGGUAUCUCAACCCCCGGCAAGUCUUUGACCUGAGCCAGGGAGGGCCCAAGGAGGCGCUGGAGAUGUACCGCCGGGUGCACAACCUGCGGAUCCUGGCGUGCGGGGGCGACGGCACGGUUGGCUGGAUCCUCUCCACCCUGGACCAACUGCGCUUAAAACCGCCACCACCUGUCGCCAUCCUUCCCCUGGGCACUGGCAAUGACUUGGCCCGCACCCUCAACUGGGGCGGGGGCUACACGGAUGAGCCGGUGUCCAAGAUCCUCUCCCACGUAGAGGAGGGCAACGUGGUGCAGCUGGACCGCUGGGACCUCCGGGCUGAGCCCAACCCUGAGGCAGGGCCUGAAGAGCGUGAUGAGGGCGCCACUGACAGGCUGCCCCUGGAUGUCUUCAACAACUACUUCAGCCUGGGCUUUGAUGCCCACGUCACCCUGGAGUUUCACGAGUCUCGAGAGGCCAACCCAGAGAAAUUCAACAGCCGCUUUCGGAAUAAGAUGUUCUACGCUGGGACAGCCUUCUCCGACUUCCUGAUGGGCAGCUCCAAGGACUUGGCCAAGCACAUCCGCGUGGUGUGUGACGGGACUGACCUGACCCCCAAGAUUCAGGACCUGAAACCCCAGUGCAUUGUUUUCCUGAACAUCCCCAGGUACUGCGCGGGCACCAUGCCCUGGGGCCACCCUGGGGAGCACCACGACUUUGAGCCCCAGCGGCACGAUGAUGGCUACCUCGAGGUCAUUGGCUUUACCAUGACAUCCCUGGCAGCGCUGCAGGUGGGUGGGCAUGGUGAGAGACUGACACAGUGCCGGGAGGUGCUACUCACCACGUCCAAGGCCAUCCCAGUGCAAGUGGACGGCGAGCCCUGCAAGCUUGCGGCCUCACGCAUCCGCAUUGCCCUCCGCAACCAGGCCACGAUGGUGCAGAAGGCCAAGCGGCGGAGUGCUGCCCCCCUGCACAGCGACCAGCAGCCGGUGCCGGAGCAGCUGCGGAUCCGGGUGAGCAGGGUCAGCAUGCUCGACUACGAGGCCCUGCACUACGACAAGGAGCAGCUCAAAGAGGCCUCCGUGCCACUGGGCACCGUGGUGGUCCCAGGAGACAGUGACCUGGAGCUGUGCCGAGCCCACAUCGAGAGGCUCCGGCAGGAGCCCGAAGGUGCUGGAGCCAAGUCUCCAACGUGCCAGAAACUGUCUCCCAAGUGGUGCUUCCUGGAUGCCACCACUGCCAGCCGCUUCUACAGAAUCGACAGGGCCCAGGAACACCUCAACUAUGUGACCGAGAUCGCACAGGACGAGAUUUAUAUCCUGGACCCUGAGCUGCUGGGGGCGUCUGCCCGGCCUGACCUCCCAACCCCCACCUCCCCUCUCCCCACCUCGCCCUGCUCACCCACGCCCCGGUCACGGCCAGGGGAUGCUGCACCCCCUACAGGUGAAGAGUUGAUCGAGGCCGCCAGGAGGAAUGAUUUCUGUAAGGGGCUUCCUGGCUCAGUCCGCUGUCCCCGGUGCUCAGAAAGAAGGGAGUCUUAGAGGAACUGAAAGCCCCAGGGCUUGAUCGUCAUUGUUUCUGGGGAGUCCAGGGGCACCUGGGAUGAGAGAAGCCCGAGGCCUCUCCCCUGCACUCCAGAAGGACCCCCAGACUCUAGGGACCCUGGGGUCCGUGUGAGUUGGGAAGUGCUUCUGUGGCUGGAAGGAGGGUGGCCCAGAGGAGCCCCAGCCCUGCCCUGCCUCCUGCCCCCAGCUCCAGGAGCUGCACCGAGCCGGGGGUGACCUCCUGCACCGUGACGAGCGGAGCCGCACGCUUCUGCACCAUGCUGUCAGCACGGGCAGCAAGGAGGUGGUUCGCUACCUGCUGGACCAUGCCCCCGCAGAGAUCCUUGAUGCUGUGGAGGAAAAUGGAGAGACCUGUCUGCACCAGGCCGCGGCCCUGGGCCAGCGCACCAUCUGCCACUACAUCGUGGAGGCUGGGGCCUCUCUCAUGAAGACAGACCAGCAGGGUGACACGCCCCGGCAGCGGGCUGAGAAGGCUCAGGACACGGAACUGGCCGCAUACUUGGAGAACCGGCAGCACUACCAGAUGAUCCAGAGGGAGGACCAGGAGACGGCUGUGUAGCUGUGAGGCCAAGGCCAGAGCAGCAGCAGGGACAAGGACUGGGUCGGGCGGCAGAAGGAUGAGCCCCUCCUCACCCACCUCACUGCCACAUUCCAGUCGGAAGUCGCAGAGGGACCCAGGCCCGAGGGACCCAGGCCCCAGGGCCGAGCCCCGUGCUGCCCCCCUGAGGAGCUGCCCAGAUCAGGGCUGGACUCUGAGAAGCUGGGGUGGGGGGGCGGUCUCACCCAUUGCGCUGAGGCUCCAGCAUAACUCAGAGGUUCAACGGGGAAACAGGAGACUGGGCUGGGCUGGGCUGGGCAGGCCUUUGGGGGGACGGGGGCAGCCCUCACCCUCACUGCAGGGGCUGCCCUGGCGUUUAGGGGGAGAAAGAGGGCAGAGGGGCUCGAGGCCCUAUCAGGGGGCCUUCAGGAAAAGGCUUCUGAAGAUUCCCAGGCCUCUGGGACCCCCACUCAGGCUCCUGGGAGCUUGGGCCUGGUCUCCUGCCCUGAUCCCAACCCUCCCGCCGGCCUCCUCCUGGAAACAAGGAGCCUGCUGCAUCUGCCUGCGGCUGCCUGCCCUGCUUAGCACCUACCCCGUGACCCUCCUCUCUACCCGGUCAUUUCACCUCCGACUGUGUGGCCCGGGGGUGGGGUGGGGCUCUCACGGUGACAUGUUUACAGCUGGGUGUGACUCAGUAAAAUGGAUUUUUUUUCCUU
Molecule: RNA transcript, 8860 nt
Organism: Sus scrofa (pig)
Lineage: Eukaryota; Metazoa; Chordata; Mammalia; Artiodactyla; Suidae
Gene: DGKZ
Gene name: diacylglycerol kinase zeta
Source: RefSeq, a predicted model, not a curated record